UUGAGUUUGUAAGAAAACCAUUUUUCGAAGAGCCGUUGACGAGGUUGAUAAGUAUUUCACAAUCGCUUUCGAAAACUAUUGAUGUAUAGCCACAAAUUCAGGUUUAGAUUAUUAAAGUCUGCAUCAAAAAUGCAUUUAUUUGUCGGAUGAAGUGGGGCUAUCCAAGAUUGAGGUUUCUUUGAUGAGAGUACUGUGGGACUGUGAUGGUGUAGAGGAGCAGACUUGGCAGGAAGAGGCAAGGAUGAAGAUAAAGUUCAAGAAGUGGUUCGAGAAGCAGUUCGGGGCUUGAAAUUGUCUAUCCUUGGUUUUCAGUUUGUUGUUCAGCUUUUUGCGGUUGUAUCUUCUUUUCAUUAUGUAUUUUGUUUGGAGUUGUAACG
Long non-coding RNA from Camelina sativa (false flax), 377 nucleotides. RefSeq lists it as uncharacterized. NCBI's taxonomy places the organism in Eukaryota, Viridiplantae, Streptophyta, Magnoliopsida, Brassicales, Brassicaceae. The record is from RefSeq and is a predicted model, not a curated record.